RNAcentral lists this long non-coding RNA (632 nucleotides) under Gossypium raimondii (Peruvian cotton). RNAcentral describes it as "long non-coding RNA (GRAI_LNC000807)". The record is from RNAcentral. Lineage: Eukaryota; Viridiplantae; Streptophyta; Magnoliopsida; Malvales; Malvaceae.
AUAUUUAAAAGAAAGCCUAAAGUUAACAAUUACAAUAAUAGGAAAUCAAUAUAUAUAAAAUAUAAAUAAUUUAAUAUAAAUUAUAUAAUAUUUAAAAAACAUUAAGCUAAAUUAAUAAGGAUUAAAUUGGAUUUAAAACUAAAUUAGAAGGAAAAUAUGUAAAUAAAAUAAAAUUGAGGGCCAAAAUGCAACGCGUGGAUAACAUGGGGAACUAAAUGGGAAAUAUUCCCUACCCCUCCAAAACGCGGCGCUGCAACCUAGGCUAAAAUGAAACAAAAACCAACUGCGGGGCCAAAAUAAAAAAAAUAAAAAAAAAUCAAAUUGAAUCUGUUACGAAAGCGAGGGGACUGAAACCAUAAAUUACCCAUUUAGACCUCAAAAACACGCGGAUCUCUUUCGAAUCGAGUCGGGUCGGCGCUGGUCAGGGCUAAUACGGCGUCAUUUCAGCACCUAUGAGCCCCUGCUCAUAACGGUACCAUAUGGUACCACUAUUUGAAUCAAUUUUUCCCAAAAAAAAAACAUUUGCAGCCCUAAAAAAUAAAAAUAAAAAACUAAAUGUUUCUCUGCUAGGGUUUCGGCCCUAGCUUCUACGCCACCUUGAAACCCCGCCAAUCUUAGCCUUACAGUCCCCG